Molecule: non-coding RNA, 73 nt
Organism: Aethalodelphis obliquidens (Pacific white-sided dolphin)
Lineage: Eukaryota; Metazoa; Chordata; Mammalia; Artiodactyla; Delphinidae
Source: the annotation of a RefSeq genome assembly
UCCGUGGUAGUCCAGUGGUUAGGACACGGCACUCUCACUGCCAGGGGCCCAGGUUCGAUCCCUGGUCAGGGAA